This is a long non-coding RNA of Prunus dulcis (almond), 385 nucleotides long. RefSeq lists it as uncharacterized. The record is from RefSeq and is a predicted model, not a curated record. NCBI's taxonomy places the organism in Eukaryota, Viridiplantae, Streptophyta, Magnoliopsida, Rosales, Rosaceae. The transcript is spliced from 3 exons.
UCAGACCAACAAAAAAAAAAAAAAAAAACUCCCAAGAACAGAACUUCUGACCCCAGAAAAAACUCCCAAGAACAAGAACACAACACAGAGAAAAGAAAAACCCUAGCUCUUAAGAUGUCUGGAGGUCGAUCUGAUGAAGACACUGUGUGUCUCAAAGUUCAGUUCAACAAGGAUGGAGUUCAAACUUUUUUCCGGGUUAAACGAAGCACCAAACUGCAAAAACUCAUGGAAGCGUUCUGUAAAAAUCGUUCCCUUGACCCCAAAUCAAUAGAAUUCACGUUUGAUAGCGUCCGACUCGAGAAGAACAAAACUCCUGAGCAGCUUGGAAUGGAAGAUGGUGAUCUGAUCGAUGCCCUUGUGUCCGGUGAUGGAGCUUAAAAAAUUA